This 3260-nucleotide long non-coding RNA is filed under the name Podarcis lilfordi (Lilford's wall lizard). Lineage: Eukaryota; Metazoa; Chordata; Lepidosauria; Squamata; Lacertidae. The record is from RNAcentral.
GAUUGGCUUUUAGCAAAGAGUGAGAACUUCGCUGCCAUUUCCCUCCAAGACCCCUUGCACCUUGGGAAGAGUCACACCGAUCAAGAAUUGUAGUGAAACUGGUGAGUGAAGGGAAUUUGAGUAGAUCUUCUCCUUUUUAUAACAGCAGAUUUUCACCCAUAAUUUCAUGGGCUGGUUUGGGGCUGGGUUAUUUUGACUUCCUUGGGCAGAGGCAGAUUUAGGGGCAUGUGACUGGUUUACCUGCACUGGGCCCCAGACCAAGAGGGUGCCACAGGGGACACUGCAGCAAUGAUGAGCAAGUGGCAAUGGAAAGCAAGUAGCGGGAGGUGGGGAAUGAAUGUUGCACAGGGCACUGCUGAAACUAUAAAGCCCAAAGCCCACUACUGCAUUGGGGGUGCAGUCAUGCAAUUUUUGCUAAUGAAACCUCAAAUAGGGGCCCCUAUUUCCAAGGGCAGGGAAUGGAGUACAAUAAAAGUACCGUAUUUUUUGCUCUAUAAGACUCACUUUUUCCCUCCUAAAAAGUAAGGGGAUAUGUGUGUGCAUCUUAUGGAGUGAAUGCAGGCUGCACAGCUAUCACAGAAGCCAGAACAAGAGGGAUUGCUGCUUUCACUGCACAGUGAUCCCUCUUGCUGUUCUGACUUCUGAGAUUCAGAAUACUUUUUUUCUUGUUUUCCUAUUCCAAAAACUAGGUGCGUCUUGUGGUAUGGUGCAUCUUAUAGAGCGAAAAAUACGGUAAAUGCUAUUCAAGUUACAGCCUCAUCUUUCCCCCAAAAUUCAUGGGUGGUGGAAUUUGGGAGGCUAUUUCACAACUUUUCAGGAGGAACCACCCUCAUCAGAUUUUUUUUUUUAUUGUGAAAUGUGAGCUCAGCCCUAGCUUAAAUAGAUGGAGCCCUUGCAAUUUUCAGAGUGCUAUAAAUAUUCUGUUUCAGUCAUGGCAUCUCUUCUUUUAGGGAUAUAGAGUUCCUAGCUAAACACCGACCUUUGCCUAACCAAAGCCAUGAAGACCUGUUACUAUUUCCUUCUUGCCAUUGCCUUAAUCCUCUCAGCUGAUCCAGGUAAGUUAUUAGUCCAGCUCCCUUUUGAGGUUAGGCAACCAAAGCUGUACACAGUAUUCCAAAUGUGUUUGCAUGCAGCUCACUGCUGGGGAUCUAACUUCCCUGUCUUGCUCAUAUUCUCCUAGAACUCCCUAGGCUUCUUCCACUGAAACGAUUCCCUUUGUGGAGAUGGCUAGUUGUUGGGCCAUUGACUGCUACUUUUACACUGAAAUGACUAGGCUAAACACAACUAUGUAUUUGUUCCAGUUGUUCCCAAUGUAGAUUUUCAUUCCUCCCUCCCUUCAUUCACCCUUUCUUCCCUAGUGGGUGAUGGUACCUUUUCAUGGUAUGCUUCAGGUGCCAACAGGUCUUGGGUCAGCCAUGCCAGGUUGAAGCACCACUGCCCCACUUAGAAAUUGUGUUCUGCAUGGCAAUUGAAUUUAGGAAAAUGUUGCUUUUGGUGGCAAUAGAAGCCUCCAACAGAAGCUGGAUGGGGUGCAACUUGGAGGGAAGUCUCAGUGUGCUGGUCUCCCCAACUGUGACCCCCACCUUAAAAUAUAUAAUUGCCCCUUCAUGACAACUAGACAUGGGGAAACAACUUCCCUUGGCAACAGUGAGAGCAUUUUUCACAAGCCGUCGUUCUGUACCACAGUCCUUGGGGCUCUCUAUCCCUUGUUUAUACUGUUUUUAGGAAAAAGAGAAUUUGCAAUAAGACCCAACAAUCAGAUGAUGGAAUGAUGCCAAGAGGAAAAGAAAGCAACUGGAUAACUAGCUAGAUGCAGUUUUCAAGUUCACUAGUUGUAAUGGAAAGAAAAGGAUUCUUAGUAACUUCUUCUUCUUCUUCUUCUUCUUCUUCUUCUUCUUCUUCUUCUUCUUCUUCUUCUUCUUCUUCUCCUCCUCCUCCUCCUCCUCCUCCUCCUCCUCCUCCUCCUCUUUUUCUCUUUGGGAGGAACAGUCUUUGUUCAGGUAAUAGGCGAGGAAAACUGUGGUAACUUGGGUGGCGUCUGCAAAGACAGCUGUGAGAAAGAACAUGAAGACAUUGGAGAAUGCAGUACAACACGUUGCUGCAUAAGGUGAGAGUUAUACCACAACCAACCAACCAACAAAAAAAGCAAGGUGCAUUUGUUGAAUGUCAAAAGGAGUGAAUUAAUUGGAAAUGCCAAAGUGGUAGACAUUUUUCCAGUUUAUGCCAGUUCACCAUCUCCACCUGUCCCUGCAGAGAUCAGAUCUGGCCACAGGUCUGUCUUAAUUACAUCCAGGGUGGAAUACUGCAACUUGCUCCAAAGGGGGCUAGCACAGAAGGGACUUUGGAAACUUGAAGCGCUGCAGAAUAUUGCAACAACAAAGUUUUUGGGCAUCUGUGGUAUGUUGAUUAGUUGAGUAAGGAAUUUAUUGCCCGCUCUCAGACAACUGAACACAGAAGAGAGGUCUAAAACCAUAGUAUUGUUCCUAUGCUUGAAUUUUUGUUUUGCUCCCACUGCCAAAUCUGGUGGGUUAAGAUCUUUAUAUAAAUAUAUUUCUCUACUUGUUUAGCAAGUAGGACAUAAGAGGACUUUUGUUCAUUAUGUUCAUAAUAUUUUGUUCACAAUUCUUUCUUUUCAGGUUCAAAAGAAUAUUUAAAUAAAUACAUGAAUGAAUGAAUUUAUUAUUUCAGUCACAGACGAGUUCCAGCUCACAUACAAAAUCAGGGAGGUCAUGAAACACAAUAAAGAUACAUUUAAACAAAUAUAAUUUUAUUAUUAAAAGUUCAUGAACAGAAAAUAAUAUAGUGCAACUGAUUUUCGGGGUUGGUGUGUUGUGGGACAAGCACACAAAGUGCAAUGAGAUUGAGUGCGGGGGGGAGGCUCAGUUAAUUUCAUUCUACACAGAUCGAAUAAACACAUUUACAAUAAAGGUAUUAUUAUUAUUAUUAUUAUUAUUAUUGCACAAAAUCUGUAGAGAAGUGGGGUUGAGUGCAGGAAGAAGGGGGAAGCAGGAACAGCAUUUUACAAUUUAUCAAGAUAUGUGUGAAUUUGUCAGUAUUAAUUUAUAAUCUCCAAACAUCUUAGUUUUGAUUCUGAAUGAUGGGGUCCAUCUCUGCUGCCACUUGGCUUGAGGAUUCAUCAGCUCCUACCUGAACACCAGCGUUAUCCAGGAAUUGUCGUUGUUUUGUCCACCAGCUGAAGGAUCACAAAAGCACAUUUGGUGUAAAUCUUCAAAGACCAUGCGUUAAUAAAAAAUAAAAAC